CAAUAGCGUAUAUUAAAGUUGUUGCAGUUAAAAAGCCCGUAGUUGGAUUUCUGGUUGAAGCGACCGGUCGGGCGUUGAUUCGUCUGCACUGGAGUCGGUUUUGGCCAUCCUCUAGGAAAGUGCGUCUGGUAUUAAGUUAUCGGGCGUAUGAUCCUGGUCUUUUACUGUGAAAAAAUUAGAGUGUUUAAAGCAGGCCUUCGCCUUGAAUACAUUAGCAUGGAAUAAUAAGAUAGGACUUUGGUCUAUUUUGUUGGUUUGCAGACCGAAGUAAUGAUUAAUAGGGAUAGUUGGGGGUAUUUAUAUUCCGAUGUCAGAGGUGAAAUUCUUAGAUUUUCGGAAGAUAAACUUAUGCGAAAGCAUUUACCAAGGAUGUUUUCAUUAA
Molecule: ribosomal RNA, 382 nt
Filed under: uncultured eukaryote
Lineage: Eukaryota
Description: partial 18S ribosomal RNA
Rfam family: Eukaryotic small subunit ribosomal RNA
Source: RNAcentral